Long non-coding RNA from Melanaphis sacchari, 465 nucleotides. RefSeq lists it as uncharacterized. The record is from RefSeq and is a predicted model, not a curated record. The transcript has 3 exons. Lineage: Eukaryota; Metazoa; Arthropoda; Insecta; Hemiptera; Aphididae.
UGAUGAAUAUGAAGUUUGAACUUGUUCGAUGAUUUUGUUUGAUAAAAUUCAUUAUGGAUAAAGUUCUUAAUAAAAAAGUCGAUUAGCAAAAAAAUCUCACUAACUGAAUUAAUUUCAUUUCUCCUAUGACACAGUUGCUAGUUCCUUUGAAGGUUUUUGCUCAAAUAAGUGUUAUUAAAUAAAGCAGGUUGUUCAAUUAGUAUUAGCAUUGCAGCUUCUGGACAUAUUGAAAAAUUAUUCAAUUUAAGCAUUGGAUUCUUUAAGUAAUAAGUAAAUCAAAUUACCUGAAACUUCUAAGAAGAAAAUGGAGCUAAAAUUACAAUUUUAGUUUUUAAAAGUUAUAAGAGCCAUAGUUUGAUGUGUAUAUAUAUUGUGGAAGGUCGUUUUAUCUACUAGUUAAUGAGUGUAAUUCGUUUAUCUAUUUUUUGGUUUUAUAUUGUUUUCAUAAUACAUAUUCAUCUUUAA